AUUGAACGCUGGCGGCAUGCUUUACACAUGCAAGUCGAACGGUAACAGGGAGCUUGCUCCGCUGACGAGUGGCGAACGGGUGAGUAAUGCAUCGGAACGUACCCAGUCGUGGGGGGAUAACGUAGCGAAAGUUACGCUAAUACCGCAUACGUCCUGAGGGAGAAAGCGGGGGACCGUAAGGCCUCGCGCGAUUGGAGCGGCCGAUGUCGGAUUAGCUAGUUGGUAGGGUAAAGGCCUACCAAGGCGACGAUCCGUAGCGGGUCUGAGAGGAUGAUCCGCCACACUGGGACUGAGACACGGCCCAGACUCCUACGGGAGGCAGCAGUGGGGAAUAUUGCGCAAUGGGCGAAAGCCUGACGCAGCCACGCCGCGUGAGUGAUGAAGGCCUUCGGGUCGUAAAACUCUGUCGGGAGGGACGAAGGGGAAACUCUGACGGUACCUCGCAAGAAAGCACCGGCUAACUCUGUGCCAGCAGCCGCGGUAAU
Molecule: ribosomal RNA, 485 nt
Filed under: uncultured bacterium
Lineage: Bacteria
Description: bacterial SSU rRNA
Rfam family: Bacterial small subunit ribosomal RNA
Source: RNAcentral